This 402-nucleotide ribosomal RNA is filed under the name uncultured bacterium. Its description in RNAcentral is "bacterial SSU rRNA". It matches the Rfam family "Bacterial small subunit ribosomal RNA", at positions 355 to 774 of the family's 1533-position model. The record is from RNAcentral.
UGGGGAAUAUUGGACAAUGGGGGAAACCCUGAUCCAGCAAUGCCGCGUGAGUGAAGAAGGCCUUAGGGUUGUAAAGCUCUUUCGCCCGCGAAGAUAAUGACGGUAGCGGGAGAAGAAGCCCCGGCUAACUCCGUGCCAGCAGCCGCGGUAAUACGGAGGGGGCUAGCGUUGUUCGGAAUUACUGGGCGUAAAGCGUACGUAGGCGGAUGCGCAAGUUGGGGGUGAAAUCCCGGGGCUUAACCUCGGAAUUGCCCUCAAAACUGCACGUCUUGAGACCGAGAGAGGUAAGGGGAAUUCCUAGUGUAGAGGUGAAAUUCGUAGAUAUUAGGAAGAACACCAGUGGCGAAGGCGCCUUACUGACUCGGUACUGACGCUGAGGUACGAAAGCGUGGGGAGCAAACA